GGGGUUACAUUUUUCUUGUAAUUGAAAGAUUUGAGAAAAAGACCAGAGAGAAGCAUAUAAACGACAGCGUAUCCCUUCACGCUGUGCAGAAGAGUUCAAGAGUGAAUGAUACAAAGAACAUAGGCGGGGGAAGCCUCAGACUAGAACGACGUUUUCCCGGGGGAACCCUCCAGGCUGGAACGACGUUAUCCUUCCCCUCCACCUUCAAGAGGGAGUGAGUGAAGAUUGAAACAGAGAAAGGGAGCAUUAGUUCCCAGAGUUGAGGCAAAAUUAGGGCUUCAGUUAGCAGAUAAUGUAUUCGAAUUGAUGAAAGAGCCUAUUAGGAGUGUAGAUGGAGCAUACAUUUUGGGAUCAUUUGCCUCUAUUGGUGAGAGCAAAUUCCAAGGAAUCGGUGGAGUACAUACUUCAAGCUCUCUGGAGAACUCGAAAGGCUGGUCUCGAUGCUGCCGACCGUCAAGUCAUCUGCGAGAUGCUUCACCUCCAAAACGACUCCGACCUCGAUCCUCUAUUGGUGUGUCUUCGCAUGUUGAUCCGAAGGUGUGUUUAUGAGAAUAUAAACAAGGAUGAGAUUCAAAAGCUAUUUCCUAACGAGGUCCUUCCUGAAUUACAAAGGCUAUUAACAAUUUUGUUGCAAAAGUUUCAGAGAGAAUGGCAAGAAGAUGUAUUCAAAGAUCAGGUUAUUUUGCCCCGUUUGAAGGCAAUGACAUGGAAUAUGGCAAAUCAGGACACAGCAGAAGUGACAGAACCCAUGGCUGUUAUAAACCUGAAGGUAUCUGAACAAUUGUUUGAAUUUUUAAUAUGUAUAUGAGGAAUCCUUGAAUUUGCUUCUGUUUUGGACCAAAUUUUUAGCUAAGUUUGAUGGGCAUUGUGGAUUCUUAAGUCAAAAGUGGCAUACAAAAUGAUAGCAAUGUGAUUUGCAUGCAUGAAUUUAUUUAAGUGCACUGUUUGCAGCUUCAAAAUGAUGCUCCAUCUCACUCAGGAGAAUUGGGUGUAAAGUUUCAAUUAAGUAAAGAUACUCUAGAAACAAUGGUAAAGUCCAUGUACUGCAUAAGAGACCAGCUGUCUGACACUGUAAGUACUAUGCAUGAAAUUUGCCAGUUUUUUCCUUCUAUAUUCAACUAGGUACAACUUGGUUUAGCUUAGUUGUUUUUCUUUGUUAACUUGUCCGUUUGGCAGGAUGUUGCAUCAAACAGGAGGCAUUUGUCCCAGGAAACCAACAUAGUCUAGUUUUUCAUAUGCCUAUAUGUAAUGGGAUAGCUUGGACUUGGAUCCUAUUUUGCUUCAGGAAAUCACUUGGCCUGCUGUUCUAGUGAUUAAAAUUAGGUGGGUUAUGGAAAAAUGUAAAAGGUUUGUUUUUCAUUUGUUUGGCUGUUGGGGGCACAACAUCCUGACUGUGACUCAAGGUUUUAUUCGUAAUAUGAAGGUACAUUUUGAUUGGUAAAAUUUUGCACAUUCUUUUCUCAUAUGUGGUUUUCCUGCACUAAUUAUGAACAUGAGUUAUGUGAAUCUGGUAUUCAUUCAGAUAUGGGGAGUCUGAUUAUGGGAUGCUAUAAAACCAAUAUGGAAGCAUAUAUUUGAAUUGCAUUGCCAAUGCACAGGAAAUGUGGUAUACCACAAUCAGCAUUGAGGAAGAGGGGAAGAGAGGAUUGAUGUGAGAAAAUAUAGGCACCAUUUGGCAAUGCUUUCUAUUAACAUCUCAAGUCCUUUAUUUUCAUGUAACGCUCAAAUAAACAGAGCUUCUGUGGUGCUGAUGCAAUGAUUAUUGGUGGUAUGUGGUCAUGUGAGGUAAGGAAAAAGAUCAUUGGAAGAAAUAAUUGAAUGCUUUAACUAAUAUGCAAUUUCCUCUUAUGGGAGUUACUACCGAUGUCCCAAGAGUACAAAACCAUUUUGUAUCUGAAAGCAUACCCUGUAUGCAUACCAUAUGAGAUAAAUUAGAAUCUCUAUAAGAAAAUUAAUGCAGUCUUUAAUAGAUUUAUUAGGAUUGUCUUGGAAAAUUAUGCAUGUUAUGUGCCAGGGAUUUCAAUGCUUUCAUGUGUUCUGAGCAUAAGUGAGAUCAGGGUUGCCUCAUGGAGGCUUUGGGCUAUCCAGGAGAGCUUAGACUAUCUAAUCUGAAUACACCAAUAGCCAUUGACCAGUGGGUGUUAUUACUUCAUUUCUCUUGGUGGUAUGCUGAAGAAUUAAGGAAUUUCACUCAAGAAUUCCAUGAGCUGAAGGGUUCAUUUUGCUUUAAACUUUUGUGUUUCUGUUGUAGUCUCAAGCCAUCUUAUGUUAAUGAAGGGUUUGAUAACGCUGGAUCUUCCAUCAUCGGUGUAAUAGUUGCUAUUUGAUGAGCAAAAUCGAUACCUUUCCUCCACUAGCUGACUCCUUGCAGUCUUCGUCAUAUUUGCAGGACCAGUAAUAGAGUUGCCCAUCUUUUAGCAGCUCAUGUUUAUAGUGUUUUAGAUGUUUGUUCCUUUGGAUCUGAUGUACGUCUGAACGUUGCUGAAGCCAUGUUGGCUGAUGCUGGUGCUUAAUUUGCUUUUUUUUU
Molecule: unclassified non-coding RNA, 2527 nt
Filed under: Hevea brasiliensis (rubber tree)
Lineage: Eukaryota; Viridiplantae; Streptophyta; Magnoliopsida; Malpighiales; Euphorbiaceae
Source: RNAcentral